This 90-nucleotide transfer RNA is filed under the name Gomphosphaeria aponina SAG 52.96 = DSM 107014. It matches the Rfam family "tRNA". From Rfam's summary of the family: Transfer RNA (tRNA) molecules are approximately 80 nucleotides in length. Their secondary structure includes four short double-helical elements and three loops (D, anti-codon, and T loops). Lineage: Bacteria; Bacillati; Cyanobacteriota; Cyanophyceae; Chroococcales; Gomphosphaeriaceae. The record is from Rfam by way of RNAcentral.
GGAGAGGUGGCUGAGUGGUCGAAAGCGGCUCACUGCUAAUGAGUUAUGGGGCCUUAAGCUCCAUCGAGGGUUCAAAUCCCUCCCUCUCCG